CCUACGGGUGGCAGCAGUCGAGAAUCAUUCACAAUGGGGGAAACCCUGAUGGGGCGACGCCGCGUGGGGGAAUGAAGGUCUUCGGAUUGUAAACCCCUGUCAUGGGGGAGCAAAUUAAAAAGAGAGUACCACAAGAGGAAGAGACGGCGAACUCUGUGCCAGCAGCCGCGGUAAUACAGAGGUCUCAAGCGGUGUUCGGAAUCCCGGGGCGUAAAGCGUGCGUAGGCUUUUUCGUAAGGCGUGUGUGAAAGGCGCGGGCUCAACCCGCGGACGGCACAUGAUACUGCGAGACUAGAGUAAUGGAGGGGGAACCGGAAUUCUCGGUGUAGCAGUGAAAUGCGUAGAUAUCGAGCGG
RNAcentral lists this ribosomal RNA (355 nucleotides) under uncultured bacterium. RNAcentral describes it as "partial 16S ribosomal RNA". It matches the Rfam family "Bacterial small subunit ribosomal RNA", at positions 338 to 704 of the family's 1533-position model. The record is from RNAcentral.